AAGCCAAGAGGAAAGUGCUGCACUUGAGCUGUAAGAUUGUGCAGAGCAACCUACAUUCAGCAGCUUAAAGACACCGAGAGACAGGGAGGCUGGAAAGGAUGGGACACAGCGAAGAGUGACAGGAAGAUGGAGGAAGAAAAGAAAAGAGUGCAUAACAGGAAAAAGGGUUCAAUAUUUCUACUUUGCCAGAAACUUCCGGCUUCCCCAACCAUUUGAACCAUCGGGAUUGGUCUGUUAUUUUGGGUGCUGUUGAGGAUCAACCCUGAAAACCACAGAGUCAAUUCCCUGUGGAAGAUCUAGGAGGAGCUGUUUGUUGGGCUGGAGGAACUGCCCUGUGGCGGCUCUUUGAGAGGUUAAGCUGGAGAUUGUCAUUGCCCAAGGUGAACUGGCUUUCAGUGGUAAACCGGGUGGAAACUAGAAAGCCGACUUCAGGAUGAGCUCUGGGGCUUGGGUUAUGUUGUGGUUGAGCUGGUAAACCCAUGAGGUGAGCAGAUCCUAACCCCGCACAUGCACGAGAGACGCUUGUUUAUCUACCGAUUCAUCUGUGAGCCUUGAGAGAGCGUUAUUUGAGAACAUCGCUGGAUUGUGAUCUGAAGCAGUCUUGUAAAACCCUUUUAACAAACAAAAGCCAGUUCCUGUGUAAUGUCAUCCUACAGGAAGUGACAUCAUUUUGGAGGGAAAUCAACAGCAGCGCAAAAAUCGGUCAGCAAAACGGAUGGUCCGGCAAUGGUAGAGCCAAGGUUGCGGUGUCAAGCUAGUU
Molecule: long non-coding RNA, 760 nt
Organism: Rhinichthys klamathensis goyatoka
Lineage: Eukaryota; Metazoa; Chordata; Actinopteri; Cypriniformes; Leuciscidae
Exons: 8
Source: RefSeq, a predicted model, not a curated record